Molecule: long non-coding RNA, 1449 nt
Filed under: Aquilegia coerulea
Lineage: Eukaryota; Viridiplantae; Streptophyta; Magnoliopsida; Ranunculales; Ranunculaceae
Description: long non-coding RNA (ACOE_LNC002309)
Source: RNAcentral
AGGACAUGUUUAGUAUUGGAUUUAGCUACUGUCCACUACCACUCUUUAUAGUUUCUUAAUAGACAAUGGAUUAGAAGCUUCCCACAGGAAUAAUUUCUCUUUUUCUGAUUACCUUUUUGCCGACAUAAUAAAAAUCGGUGGUCCCUAUUGUUUUUACGAAGCAAUUUGGUGAUCUGUUUUUAUGUGCGGGAUACAAUUAAAGUAGAAAAAAAAGGAUUUAACUCUUUUUUGAGUGGUUCAAAAUAAAAAGUUAGUUUAAAUGUUCCUCGGGUGGAUAUGAGCCUUGUUAAUAUUUGAUCAUUUAUUUUUUUUAUAUUUUUUGAAUAAUCAAUACUUAAUAUGAACAAGGAAUCCAGCUCCAGUUGAGCCUUUAAACAAGCAGGAAUAGUAAAAAAAAAAGGAAGGGGAACUAUCUGGCUUUUAUCUGCAUGCUUUGCAAGAAUAUGAGCAGAAGAGUUCCUAGACCUGUUACAAUAAUUAAAGCAUACAAAUCAAAUAAGCUACAAGUAGAAAGAAUCAUAUCCAAGAGAUUGGUUGCAGUCCACGAUAGGUUGUGUAACACCCAUGAGUUGGUGUUAGUCCCACAUUGCCUAGUAAGUGGUUGUUUCGGUAGUAUAUAGAGCUUAACCGUACUCUAACUAAUGUCAAGGCCUUUUGGGGUAAACCACAUGGGUGGGCCCUGAUCCAAAACCCUCUACUGCUGGAUAUCAGCAGUGAUUAAAGGGGGACAAUAUUGACAUUAACGAGCGGUAUGGUGCUCGACGCACCGGGAUGAGCGAGGACGAAAUCUCGGGGCGUUACAGGUUGGUUGGUUUACUGUGAGGUAGUUUGCUGCACUCAAACAGUCGGUUUCAAUUUCCACUCCUUUGUUGUUGUCGGAUGCAUCUUGUACAGGCCGGUAGUUUCCCCAAUCUUUCAUGAACAUAAAUUGUAGGUUCAUUUAUUGUUAGAUUUUCUUGCUUCUACAGGUAAUUUCAUGGACCUUUUUCCUUUAUAAAAUUGUACUCUAUGCAUUUAUGUUGAUCUGUUGUACAUGACACUUAUUUGUUCAUAUUAUACAGAAGCAAUGCAUGUUAAUCUUCUUACACAUCUUGAAUCUAUUUUGUCUAACGUUUUGCAGGCAGUUUUGUCUCAAAGUGAUUACUCCACGGACGACAUACUAAACACCAUGAGUCCUAGACAAUGAUUGGGAGCUUUAGCAAACUGUAAAGUGUAAGCAUACAAGAGUUCCUUUAUGGAAUUAUAGAUAUGUUCUUUUUUACAAUAGCAAAAGGUUGUUAUGCUGGAACAUUAGAAUUAGAACAAUGUAUCUUCCUGAGGAUUCAAUAUGAAAUAGACAUGAUAUAUGCAGAAGCACACUGAUAAACACGUAUAUUAGAUAAGGUAAGACUAUAAUUACAAACUAUAAUCCCAACAUUAAAUCUGUUGGAAGUAGUAUUAGUUGGAAAA